GACGAACGCUGGCGGCGUGCUUAACACAUGCAAGUCGAACGGAAAGACCCUGCUUUUGUGGGGUGCUCGAGUGGCGAACGGGUGAGUAACACGUGAGUAACCUGCCCUUGACUUUGGGAUAACUUCAGGAAACUGGGGCUAAUACCGGAUAGGAGCUCCUGCUGCAUGGUGGGGGUUGGAAAGUUUCGGCGGUUGGGGAUGGACUCGCGGCUUAUCAGCUUGUUGGUGGGGUAGUGGCUUACCAAGGCUUUGACGGGUAGCCGGCCUGAGAGGGUGACCGGCCACAUUGGGACUGAGAUACGGCCCAGACUCCUACGGGAGGCAGCAGUGGGGAAUAUUGCACAAUGGGCGGAAGCCUGAUGCAGCAACGCCGCGUGCGGGAUGACGGCCUUCGGGUUGUAAACCGCUUUCGCCUGUGACGAAGCGUGGGUGACGGUAAUGGGUAAAGAAGCACCGGCUAACUACGUG
RNAcentral lists this ribosomal RNA (468 nucleotides) under uncultured bacterium. Its description in RNAcentral is "partial 16S ribosomal RNA". It matches the Rfam family "Bacterial small subunit ribosomal RNA", at positions 28 to 507 of the family's 1533-position model. The record is from RNAcentral.